Polypterus senegalus (gray bichir) is the source of this 793-nucleotide long non-coding RNA. RefSeq lists it as uncharacterized. The record is from RefSeq and is a predicted model, not a curated record. The transcript is spliced from 2 exons. Lineage: Eukaryota; Metazoa; Chordata; Cladistia; Polypteriformes; Polypteridae.
UGGUCGAGCUGGAGACAGAAAGAGAAGAAAAGCAGCCUCGGUCCUGACCCCUGACGGAUAAUCGAGGUUUAAACUGCAGAACAACUCACAGUCACAGGAGAAAAGGACAAGAGAGAGAAGAGAAUCUGUUAGAAGAAAGACAAAGCAAACUGAAUGUUCUUAAAUGUGUGACAGAGGAAGCUCUUCAUAGACACAACAAUCUGAACAAAGCGUCACCUUCUCCUGUGUGACCAUAAACCAAGUCAGGAGAUCACCUGCUCGGAAUCUGAGAACUUCUGACUGUGACCCGGUAGUUAAGAUAAAGCCAGGGGGUGAAUUCUGGGAGUUGACAUCACCAUAACUGUGUGAAGGAGAAGGCUGUAGCUGUUGUGAGGGUCUUAUCAUAAAUUCAGUAAGAAAACUAAAGUGGACUUAAAUCAGUUCAGAGCAGCUUCUCACACACACAGAGGAGCUGCAAGGGAGUGUAGACAACCUGUGAGGAAAACCAAACCGCCAUCACAGUGCUGACUCUAGAAACUUAAUAAGUAACUAAGAACUGAAGCAGAACUGAGAGGAGAACAUUUAAAAGAAGGUUCUGAAUGAGUAAUGUUUCCUGGGAAAUAUUUUGGAUAAAAAUUAUAAGAAAUAAAAUCACACGUUAUGUGCCUAUCUAUAAGUGCAAGAGAAAGAACCAACUAAGGUAACAAAGACUCAUGUUUGGUGUUGUCUGUUGAUGUCGUCUGUCUGUAUGCACUUGAAUACGUACAUCUUCAGGUGUCCUUAUAUUAGAAAUACAUUUUAUUUUUGACUAUGA